Molecule: ribosomal RNA, 255 nt
Filed under: uncultured bacterium
Lineage: Bacteria
Description: partial 16S ribosomal RNA
Rfam family: Bacterial small subunit ribosomal RNA
Source: RNAcentral
UACGUAGGGUGCAAGCGUUAAUCGGAAUUACUGGGCGUAAAGCGUGCGCAGGCGGUUUUGUAAGUCAGAUGUGAAAUCCCCGGGCUUAACCUGGGAACUGCGUUUGAAACUACAAGGCUAGAGUGUGGCAGAGGGGGGUGGAAUUCCGACGGUGUAGCAGUGAAAUGCGUAGAGAUGUGGAGGAACACCGAUGGCGAAGGCAGCCCCCUGGGUUAACACUGACGCUCAGGCACGAAAGCGUGGGGAGCAAACAGG